Molecule: transfer RNA, 56 nt
Filed under: Candidatus Poribacteria bacterium
Lineage: Bacteria; Candidatus Poribacteria
Description: tRNA-Lys
Rfam family: tRNA
About the family: Transfer RNA (tRNA) molecules are approximately 80 nucleotides in length.
Source: RNAcentral
UAGCUCAGUUGGUAGAGCAUCUGACUUUUAAUCAGAGGGUCACAGGUUCGAUCCCU